GAUUCAUCGUCAGCGAUUCUGGUACGUGAGCGGUUCGCGAUGUCGCGGGACCCCGGUUCAGUGACACGCGUCCGCGCAUGUAUAAAUUGCCAGGUGUCGUCGGCGUGCACUUCUCCCCUAGUAGAACGUCGCGACCCGUUGGGUGUCGGUCUACGGCCCGGAUGGUAGACUGUCGUGCGUCGCGCCUUGUGCCGACAUGCGGCAGACCACCGGUCGCCUGACCGGCUGCCCGGCGGUACUCGCACGGUAUCGAGCCGCAAAUAUUUGAACUGCGUCCGGCCCGCCGCAAGCGAGGUCAGUGUUUCCCGGAUGUGCGGACCUAGCGCCGCCAUCGGGCCUGACCAGCUGUUGGUUGGCGGUGUCCUGAGACUGGCUAAAUAAUAAAUUAUGAUACCGGUCGGCGACGCUACUGCUUUGGGUACUUUCAGGACCCGUCUUGAAACACGGACCAAGGAGUCUAACAUGUGCGCGAGUCAUUGGGAGCUGUGAAGCCUAAAGGCGCAAUGAAAGUGAAGGUCGGCCUUGCGCCGACCGAGGGAGGAUGGGCCACGUCACGAUGUGGUCCCGCACUCCCGGGGCGUCUCGUUCUCAUUGCGAGAAGAGGCGCACCCAGAAGCGUACACGUUGG
RNAcentral lists this ribosomal RNA (628 nucleotides) under Spilopimpla sp. BF002561. Its description in RNAcentral is "eukaryotic LSU rRNA". It matches the Rfam family "Eukaryotic large subunit ribosomal RNA", at positions 585 to 812 of the family's 3401-position model. The record is from RNAcentral. Lineage: Eukaryota; Metazoa; Arthropoda; Insecta; Hymenoptera; Ichneumonidae.